CGGAUAUGUUUAUAAGACAGACCUUGAACUCAAAGCCUCUGUUUCCCAUCCAAACCACGAGUUUUGAUCUCAUACUCGAUGGGUUUAAUUUGGUCGGCCGAGAACGGACUGGUCAGGGUAAGACCUUGGCUUUUGUGCUGCCAAUGUUGUAGUCUUUGACAAAUGGAAUGCUCAAGAAAUCAAGGAAGACUGGUUAUGGAAGGUCUCCUAGUGUUUUGAUCUAUGAUCGAGCAGUGGGGUUAUCUCCAUGCAGCUUGUAUGGUGGAUCUCCUUUCCAUGCUCAAGUAAUGUCAAUAAGAGCAAGGGUUGAUAUCGUUGUUGGAACUCUGGGACGUGUAAAGG
Long non-coding RNA from Zingiber officinale, 342 nucleotides. RefSeq lists it as uncharacterized. The record is from RefSeq and is a predicted model, not a curated record. The transcript is spliced from 3 exons. Lineage: Eukaryota; Viridiplantae; Streptophyta; Magnoliopsida; Zingiberales; Zingiberaceae.